GCUUAUACUCGACCGUCAGCGGCAUGUGCGAUCGCGCUUCGGCGCGGUCAUGAAGCCCUGACGAGUAGGAGGGUCGCGGCGGUGAGCGCAGAAGGGCUGGCCGUGAGGCCGUCUGGAGCCGCCGUCGGUGCAGAUCUUGGUGGUAGUAGCAAAUACUCCAGCGAGGCCCUGGAGGACUGACGUGGAGAAGGGUUUCGUGUGAACAGCCGUUGCACACGAGUCAGUCGAUCCUAAGCCCUAGGCGAAAGCCGAUGUCGAUGUGGUGUAGAUUUAUAACGAAAAAGUUCGCAAGUGUGUAAUAUUAUAUAAUAUAAAUAAACACGUCGGUGAGCGUUAUCAAAACUGUACACACCCAUUGGGCGAAAGGGAAUCCGGUUCCUAUUCCGGAACCUGGCAGCGGAACCGUCAAAAAGUCGGGC
This 419-nucleotide ribosomal RNA is filed under the name Coeliodes rana. RNAcentral describes it as "partial 28S ribosomal RNA". It matches the Rfam family "Eukaryotic large subunit ribosomal RNA", at positions 1340 to 1663 of the family's 3401-position model. Lineage: Eukaryota; Metazoa; Arthropoda; Insecta; Coleoptera; Curculionidae. The record is from RNAcentral.